CUUUUGAAAAUUGAUAUCAAAGCAUAUGAAUUUGAUCUUAUGGCGAGAUUAAAAUAGGGCGGUGUGUUAAGCAAUUCAGAUUUGAUUUGAUUUGCUUGAGAGUCAAGACGGACUUUGGUAAAAGCGGUGGACUUGUACCGUAGAAUAUUGUCAACUCUGUAUCCGCAUUGAGCGGCAAAAUAUGUUAUUGUACAGUGCUGAAGUUGGGUAAUAGUGAAUUAAUCUAGUAAUUUGUGUUACAAUAUCUGUCAACAUCAAGAAUAGUAGCGGCUUUAGUGUAUUUACGGACAAAUACAAUUAUUCCAUAUUUUUGCUCGGGAUGUAAUAAUAAAAACACUGUGACUGAGGCAAGGGCUUAUUGUAAAAAGUGUGACUCUUGAUUUUGUGACGAACGUGUAAUUAUACACAAUCAAUUGUUAUAAAACCACCCCAAUUUUGGGCCUAAAGAAAUGGAGAUGUGGCCAAUUGCCAAGGCAACACGGGGGUUUCUGGAGAACUGUCAAUGCCACAGGGGGAAGAAACUUAAAUAUUUCUGUGAGGACCACAGCAAACUGUGUUGCAGUGUUUGCAAUCAAGUGACUCUUCGGUAUUCAGUGUACAAAAGCUGACAUUCAUUGCUGACACCUCUCUGUCUGCAACAGACCAUCAGCAGCUGUCAGCCAAGAUUAACACCAUUCGAAAACAACUAAGAAGCAGCAAACAAACUGAGAGAGCAACCUGAAGUCACUGCAAGUGUCAUAUGAAGAAAGGCUUAAAGAGGUGGAAAGUAUGAGAGAGAGAAUAAAUGCCACCUUAGAUAAGCUGGAGAAGGCUAUUCUGAAAGAAAUGGAUGAACUGAAAGCAAGCUGGGAUGCCUCCCUCAAGUUUGAUGUUGAUACAUGCUCCAGGCUUCGUACUGAGCUGACACGUCUCAGUAUUGCGAUGCAGGAAGUUGGCAAAAAGGACAAAGAAUUGGCCUUUAUAGCCCAUCAGAAAAACAAGGAGAUGAUAAAACAAGUAGACAUAUACCUGAACAACAUCCAACACAAACAGAAGUUUCUUUAAAAUUGAUUGUUUACAAUGACAUUGAAUUUUUUUUAUCCAACCUGUCGUGUCUUGGUCAUACCAUACACAUUACCAAGGUAUUGACCAUGCAGGGGAGCCCAGACCAGGCUAUCAUAGUCACAGGGGCAACUCCAGUAAGUGUGAGAAUACCAAGGGAUACUAGUGCGUUCUAUUAUAUCCAAGGAAUUUGUGGUCUGUUCAAUGGUCAGCUGCUUGUUACAGAUUAUGAAAACAAGAGACUGAAGCUGGUGGACCUGCAGCUCCAAGUGGUCAGUAAUUGUGAUAUGUCUGGCUAUCAAUUGGACAUGUGUCUGAUUACACCCUGUCAGGUAGCAUUCGCUGUGGACAGUUGUAUAUAGUUUGUCACAGUGAACAAUGGACAACUGAUGAAAGGCAGAAAACUACAGUUACCACAUGAAUGUAGAGGACUUGCUCCUCAUCAGGGGGACCUCUAUGUAACCUCUGGCAAAGCCCUGUUCAAGUAUGAUCUCACUGGCACACUUGUGGAAAAGAUGCACAGGGAUACAUCUAGUAUUGUGACAGUAUGGAGAUGUGCAUUGAGUCUUAGUGGUGACAGGAUCUAUGUUACCAACAAAAGCCAACACAAGCUCCUCACCCUGGCCAGGGAUUGGACUGUUAUCUCCACCUUCACUGACUCAGAACUACAAGGCCCAUGGGGAGUUCAUGUGACGCCUGCAGGACAAGUGCUUGUAUGUUAUCAAUCAUCAAAAACUGUCAUACAGGUGGACAGAGAGGGCAAGAAAAAGAUUGCUACACUGGCUACAGAGAAGGAUGGACUCAAAUCUCCUUGGACAGUCUUCUAUAACUGGAAAUCUGGUAAUGUCAUUGUAGGACAUUACAGUGAACACAUUCUGGUGUUUAAGUGUAAAUGAAAUCAAUUUUCUCUGAAAACACCAUUAUUGUUUACAUUUUAAAUACCAAUAUAUCUUUUAAGAUUAUUGCCAUUUUAUUUGUUGCUUUAAAUAAAAUAAGAUGCCAAUGUUGUUGUGAACAUGUAACAUUUCAUAAUAAUAAGAGUGGACUAACAGUACAAGCAUUUAUUUAAAUAACAAGCUAAAAGAUGAUUUUGCAUUCACUGUGAAACUCUUCAGUGUAUAUAACAUUGGCAGUGUAACUGUUCAUUGAAAUUUAUAAUCAUAUUGAGGUAAAUUGUAUUGUAACAUUCUUAUAAUUAAUUUUUAUUAUCUGCUUCAUUAUAUAUAAAUUAAGUAAGCAUUUUGUACUGUUUAUCACUUUGUUGAUAAAGGAAGCAUCAUUUUGAGAUACUUAUUUUUUAUAUUUAUUUGUUAAAGUGCCCAAAUGCAUGAUAAUAAAUUAUUUUCCCUCAGCACAAAAAUACACCAACAGUUGUAAAAUGUUACCCUUUCUACUUUUGGGAAUACAACAAUGCGAAUCUUCCCAAGUAUUAGUGAAAUACCUGUUUAAUGUUAAAAAUACGGAUGUUCAUUACCAAUAGAAUCUUUUUCUGUUAUCUUGUAUUGUAAAUUAUAUAGUAUAUCCCUUAAUAUAUAUCCAAGUAAGUUGUACAUUGUAAUUUUUAUAUUCUUCUAAUGUUGAAUUUUCAGUUGUGGUUGAUCUUCCAAUACUGUAGUAUGUGCCUAAGAUAUAUUACUAAAGAUAGUAUGUAUUUAUGUUUGUUUUGCUUCAAGUUCAAUAUAAUCGUGUCUUCCUAAAUAGAUAUGCAAACUGACAUCAUAUGUUAACGUCAAACUAGACGAAAAGAAUGCACCAAGUAAUGGACAAUUGCUCGUUUCGCAGAUUAGUUAUGUCUUUGUCAUGCAUGCGGCCAAUUGAUUGUUGUAUAAUCUCAUUUAAAUGGCGGGCUAACGUCCAUAUACGUCCUUUGCAUGCGUCAUAUUACGUCGUUACCUUUGGGCAUGUGAUUGUGCACAUGUUCCCGUUGGAAAUUGCACAUGUCACCAUCGAGUGUUCCAAUCUAUAUUAAUAUAUUCAAUUUCAGUACCAUGCAUACAGCCGGACAUUUGCAGUCACACAUUUUGUUUUUGUCAGUGUUGUCUUAUAUUUUACAAACAUGUGCAAACAAUGUGUUUGAAUUUAAUCAGCAAAAAUAAAUCACAGUGAAAACUGAAA
Dreissena polymorpha is the source of this 3156-nucleotide RNA transcript. RefSeq lists it as uncharacterized. The transcript is spliced from 3 exons. The record is from RefSeq and is a predicted model, not a curated record. NCBI's taxonomy places the organism in Eukaryota, Metazoa, Mollusca, Bivalvia, Myida, Dreissenidae.